Molecule: ribosomal RNA, 375 nt
Filed under: uncultured organism
Description: partial 16S ribosomal RNA
Rfam family: Bacterial small subunit ribosomal RNA
Source: RNAcentral
GUAGGGUGCGAGCGUUAUCCGGAAUCAUUGGGCGUAAAGAGCUCGUAGGCGGUUCAGCAAGUCGGCUGUGAAAUUCCGAGGCUCAACCUCGGAACUGCAGUCGAUACUGUUGUGACUCGAGUCCGGUAGAGGAGAAUGGAAUUCCCGGUGUAGCGGUGAAAUGCGCAGAUAUCGGGAGGAACACCAGUAGCGAAGGCGGUUCUCUGGGCCGGCACUGACGCUGAGGAGCGAAAGCGUGGGGUAGCAAACAGGAUUAGAUACCCUGGUAGUCCACGCCGUAAACGUUGGAUACUAGGUGUGGGGUUCCGACCAACGGUCCCCGUGCCGAAGCUAACGCAUUAAGUAUCCCGCCUGGGGAGUACGGCCGCAAGGCUA